RNAcentral lists this ribosomal RNA (342 nucleotides) under Aiolocaria hexaspilota. Its description in RNAcentral is "partial large subunit ribosomal RNA". Lineage: Eukaryota; Metazoa; Arthropoda; Insecta; Coleoptera; Coccinellidae. The record is from RNAcentral.
UGAGUAUAAUUUAAAGUAGGGCCUGCCCACUGAAAAUUUGAAGGGCCGCAGUAUUUUGACUGUGCAAAGGUAGCAUAAUCAUUAGUUUUUUAAUUGAAAGCUUGUAUGAAUGGUUUGAUGAAAAAAUAACUUUCUUUAUUUAAUUUUUUAAAAAUUUUAUUUUUAAGUUAAAAAGCUUAAAUAAUUUUAAAAGACGAGAAGACCCUAUAGAGUUUUAUUAUUUAAAUUUUUUAAAUUUUUAGAAUUUAAUUAUUUUAAUAUUUUAAAUAAUUUGAUUGGGGUGAUUAAAAAAUUAAAUAAACUUUUUUUAUAUUAUAACAUAGAUUAAUGAAUAUUGAUCCA